RNAcentral lists this small nucleolar RNA (81 nucleotides) under Lupinus angustifolius (narrow-leaved blue lupine). Its description in RNAcentral is "snoRNA snoZ102_R77". It matches the Rfam family "Small nucleolar RNA Z102/R77". From Rfam's summary of the family: Z102 and R77 and are members of the C/D class of snoRNA which contain the C (UGAUGA) and D (CUGA) box motifs. Lineage: Eukaryota; Viridiplantae; Streptophyta; Magnoliopsida; Fabales; Fabaceae. The record is from Rfam by way of RNAcentral.
GAAUGCAAUGAUGAUUAUUUUUUCCCUAUUGGUUUGAUUGCCAGAAUGAUGGCAUCUUGUAUUAGCUCUAUCUGAGCAUUC